This 499-nucleotide ribosomal RNA is filed under the name Oligonema cf. persimile. Its description in RNAcentral is "SSU rRNA". It matches the Rfam family "Eukaryotic small subunit ribosomal RNA", at positions 50 to 553 of the family's 1831-position model. The record is from RNAcentral. Lineage: Eukaryota; Evosea; Eumycetozoa; Trichiida; Trichiidae.
CAUGCAUGUCUCCGAAUAACUAGUAGCUUGAUCCUGGAAUCUGCGAACGGCUCCGUAUAUCUGUUGUAACCCACCCCCGCCCAGGACCCCUCGGCAUAACCACGGUAAUUCUGUGGCUAAUACGUGUAACACCGGCCCCCCCCGCCCCCUGGGCGGGGGACAGCCGGACUCGCCGUGCACCACCGGUUCACCCGCGUGAGAGCUGGCGAGCGGACCUUACCGGGGGAGGUAAGCCCCUGGAGCGAGGGAUGGGCUUCAGACCUAUCAACUAGAUGGCCAGGGAUAGCCUGGCCAUGGUUAUAACGGGUACAGAGGAUCAGGGUUCGGUCCUGGAGAGGUAGCCUUAGAGAUCGCUACUACUUCUAAGGAAGGCAGCAGGCGCGCAACGUUCCCAAUGGGGAUACCCUGAGGACGUGAAGGGACAUACCAAUGCCCGGCCCUUAAAGCCGGGCAAUUGGAAUGGGGGACACUUAAACCCCACACCGAGUAACAAUUGGAG